AUACGUAGGGGGCGAGCGUUGUCCGAAGUUACUGGGCGUAAAGCGCGCGUAGGCGGCUCCUUAAGUGACUGGUGAAAUCCCCGGGCUCAACUCGGGAGGGUCUGGUCAUACUGGGGAGCUAGAGUGCGGGAGGGGAGAGCGGAACUCCUGGUGUAGCGGUGAUAUGCGUAGAGAUCAGGAAGAACACCCGUGGCGAAGGCGGCUCUCUGGACCGUGACUGACGCUGAGGUGCGAAAGCCAGGGGAGCGAACGGGAUUAGAUACCCCGGUAGUCCUGGCCCUAAACGAUGGAUACUAGGUGUGGCGGGUAUCGACCCCUGCCGCGCCGCAGCUAACGCAAUAAGUAUCCCGCCUGGGGAGUACGGCCGCAAGGUUGAA
Molecule: ribosomal RNA, 377 nt
Filed under: uncultured bacterium
Lineage: Bacteria
Description: bacterial SSU rRNA
Rfam family: Bacterial small subunit ribosomal RNA
Source: RNAcentral